This 251-nucleotide ribosomal RNA is filed under the name uncultured prokaryote. RNAcentral's name for it is "partial 16S rRNA". It matches the Rfam family "Bacterial small subunit ribosomal RNA", at positions 525 to 775 of the family's 1533-position model. The record is from RNAcentral.
ACGGAGGGUGCAAGCGUUAUUCGGAUUUAUUGGGCGUAAAGGGCGCGUAGGCGGCUUAUCAGGUCGGAUGUGAAAGCCCGCAGCUUAACUGCGGAAGUGCAUCCGAAACCGGCAGGCUUGAGUAUGGGAGAGGGAAACGGAAUUCCCGGUUGAGCGGUGAAAAGCGUAGAUAUCGGGUGGAACACCUGUGGCGAAAGCGGUUUCCGGUACCAAUACUGACGUGGUUGCGCGAAGGCGCAGGGAUGGAACAG